GGCUCGGGGUGAUCGGCUCGGUCGAUCCUCCACCCUUUGUGUACCUACCUCUGUUGCUUUGGCGGGCCGCGGUCCUCCGCGGCCGCCCCCCUCCCCGGGGGGGUGGCCAGCGCCCGCCAGAGGACCAUCAAACUCCAGUCAGUAAACGAUGCAGUCUGAAAAACAUUUAAUAAACUAAAACUUUCAACAACGGAUCUCUUGGUUCUGGCAUCGAUGAAGAACGCAGCGAAAUGCGAUAAGUAAUGUGAAUUGCAGAAUUCAGUGAAUCAUCGAAUCUUUGAACGCACAUUGCGCCCUUUGGUAUUCCGAAGGGCAUGCCUGUUCGAGCGUCAUUACAACCCUCAAGCUCUGCUUGGUAUUGGGCACCGUCCUUUGCGGGCGCGCCUCAAAGACCUCGGCGGUGGCGUCUUGCCUCAAGCGUAGUAGAACAUACAUCUCGCUUCGGAGCGCAGGGCGUCGCCCGCCGGACGAACCUUCUGAACUUUUCUCAAGGUUGACCUCGGAUCAGGUAGGGAUACCCGCUGAACUUAAGCAUAUCAAUAAGCGGAGGA
This 551-nucleotide ribosomal RNA is filed under the name Botryosphaeria dothidea. Its description in RNAcentral is "eukaryotic LSU rRNA". The stretch from base 179 to 332 matches the Rfam family "5.8S ribosomal RNA". Lineage: Eukaryota; Fungi; Ascomycota; Dothideomycetes; Botryosphaeriales; Botryosphaeriaceae. The record is from RNAcentral.